UGAUUCUUAGGGAUGGUUUUAAUUGUAGUAUCAUUUAACCACAUUAGUUAUUUUAAUUAGAAAAGUGAUAUAAAUUUGAGAAAUAGAAUCAAGAAGAGAAAAAAUGUUCCUUAUUGCCGCAGUCUGGCUGGGCACAAAUGCCACAGUCUGGCUGGGUACAAAUGCCGCAGUCUGGCUGGGCACAGCGGGCACACAAUCAGGAGCCACCACACAGCUUGUAGAUUCAAACAGCAACUCUUUAUUCCCGAACUCACACCAGCCAUCUACAAUCACAUUCUGGGGAAAUCCACGUUCUCUGCCCAAAUCCAC
Molecule: long non-coding RNA, 309 nt
Filed under: Marmota monax (woodchuck)
Lineage: Eukaryota; Metazoa; Chordata; Mammalia; Rodentia; Sciuridae
Source: RNAcentral